AAAUAAGUAUGUUUAAACUAAAAGAGAGGGACGAAAGAUACCAAAGGGACAGUCAAACUCAUAAAUCUAAAACAAACUGACAUGGCUAAAAAUGAAAAAGACAAACAAACAACAGCACACAUGGCACAUAUGAAAGUAUGAAAGAUAAAAGAUAAACUGUCUAUAAAAUUAUUAAAAGAACCAUUCAAUUCUUUAAAGUACUGUGAUAUUGUACAAACAUGCUACAUGAUACAAACAUGACAAUACUACCUUUUCUUAUAUGUUGUAAUGCAAUGGGAUAAGGGCGGAUGACGUUGAGCAUCAUGGGAGUGGAUCUGAAUGGAGUUUACAAAAUAGGGGAUAAUGUACUCCAUACUACAGAAUUUGAACCAAAAAAGAAAGAAUUAAGCGAACAUUAGGCCCCCAAAAAAGAAGAAUAGCAAAAAUUAGCCAGGAAAAGAAAGAAUAGAAAAUAAUAGUGUUGAAAGAUGAAGAAUCGAGAGUGAUGGGC
Molecule: long non-coding RNA, 490 nt
Filed under: Mytilus galloprovincialis (Mediterranean mussel)
Lineage: Eukaryota; Metazoa; Mollusca; Bivalvia; Mytilida; Mytilidae
Source: RNAcentral